Ictidomys tridecemlineatus (thirteen-lined ground squirrel) is the source of this 2236-nucleotide non-coding RNA. The record is from RefSeq and is a predicted model, not a curated record. NCBI's taxonomy places the organism in Eukaryota, Metazoa, Chordata, Mammalia, Rodentia, Sciuridae.
CAUUUUAUCUCCCUCUGCGUGACUCUGUUUUUUUUUUAAAUUAGGCUUUGCUUAUCAGAAUAGAAAUUAUUACUAUUUGAGUUCAUUUUAUGUAUUUCUUUUUGAGCUUAUUGUCUCUUUCUACUAGGAGAAUAUAAUCUAUCCAAGAAAGAAGAUUGUAUCUGCCUUCCUUACUGCUGUUAUUUCAAUGUCAAGAUCAAUAACUGUCAAACAGGUGUUUGCUCAAUGAGAGAACAACUUGAUUAAUAACCUCUCAUGACUAUCCUUCACUCUCCCAUUUGGGGAGUUUGAGGCCAAGAGCAGAGGAGCUACCCUGAAGCUUGUUUAAAGAUUUUCUCUGCUUUUCAAACUCCAGUUUUAUCUUCCAUUCCAACACUUGGAAAACAGAAAUAACUCCUAUCAACUCCUACCUCCACCUUGGCCAAUCCACCUUGAUCUAUAUUUCUUCUACCAUUUGUUGUGUUACCAUAGAUCAGUGAUUGUCAACAAUGAUUAGAUUUCCUCCUGAGUUUAUUUUAAUAUGUUUUAAUUUGUUGUGAAAGUAGUGACACUGACUUUUGGACAGUAGAAUCAAUGCUGCUGUAAAACUGCAACAAAUGCAAUAGUAUGCCUGCUUAAAAAUGUUUUCUGGGCCAGGUGUAUAGCUCAGUGGUAGUUGCCUAGCAUGAACAGGAACCUAGGUUUGAUCCACAAAACUGAAAAUAAAUAUUUUCCUAUAUGGCUUUCCACGAAUACCUUUUGAAUGUCUUUUCAUUUAUUCAUGUUUAUAAAAUAUCUGUUCAUAAUUACCUGUGUCUGGAACAUAAUUUUGCUUAGAAGAUAAAUGUAAAGAAAUUUUUACUUAUCGCACAGCAAAUUUACAGUGAAUUUCUCUAAACAUAUCCUUAAGGGAAGAUUUUAUCUUAUUUGUUGAGAAAUCUAUGAAUAGCUAUUGAACAUUUUUUUUAAAAAAAAUUUACCUCCAACAAUUAUUUCAUUAUGUUUGAGAUAUUUAAGUUUAAAUACAAUACAGGAUUUAAACUUUAUUGGCAGUUUUGUUUACUGUGUAUUUAGAUUUUUGAGGGAAACUACAACCCCAAAUUAUUAAAUGAUAAAUUUCAGAAUUAAAUAAUACGUGUUAUAAAUUGCACACUUUUGUGAAAGAACAGUGAAAUCCCAAUCUGUGCCUUCUCAUUCCUUCAUGCCUAAUAUAUGAACCAUUCUUUUGUCCAGCAUGCUGUAUAUACUCACACCUCACCCAAUUGGCACUGAGUAGCCGUUUUGGUUGUCCGACUUUUGGUCAUGUUAUCACAGUGCUUGUGUUCAAGUAACCCUAACUUUAAUUAAUAAUGGCCCCCAAAUACAAGUAUUUUGAUCCAGGCAAUUUGAAUAUGUAAAAAAGAAACUUUAGUGCUUCUGAUAAAUGAAAAGGGGAAAGUUCUCAACUGAAUAAGGGGAAAGAAGAAGUCACAUAAUUCGGUUGUUAAGAUUUAAGAUGAGUAUGAAUCCUCAAACAAUGAAAUUGUAAAGAUGAAAGAGAAGCGCUUGCUAGUUCUGUUGUCUCCAGCCAUAAAAAUUGUGGCCACGAUGUGACAUAAGUAUUUAUUUAAGAUAGAAAAAGGAUUAAAUUUAUCUAUGUAUAUAGAGGACAUAUAUAGGAUUAUAGAGUUUGGUACUACGUGCAGCUUAAUAUUUUGGAAAAUAUCUCUCAGAGGAUAAAGUAGGGACUACUGUAAAACAUGAGCCAGUACAUAUCUAUGAAUAUUAUAUUAAUGUGGAUUCUCCAUGUCAGUUUAAUCAUUUAAGUACCUCAUCAAAUUUUCUGGUGUAAUAAUGCUUGAAAAAUUAAGAUAAAAUAUCAUUUCAUGUAGAAAAGUCUGUAGAAUAAAUUGGAUAUUAUUAGCCUAUGUAUAUAUAUGAUUACAUGACCAAUAUGAUUCUAUUAUCAUGUACAACAAGAAGAUGGAGAAGUUAUACUCAAUUCAUAUACGAUGUGUCAAAAUGCACUGUACUGUCAUGUAUAACUAAUUAGAACAAAUUUUUGAAGUUUUUAAAGAAAGGCUAGGGAUGUGGCUCUGUGGUUAAACACCCUUGGGUUCAAUCUCCAGUACCCCCCCCAAAAAAAAAUCUAGAAAAAAAUGAAGUCAUGCUAUUCUGUAAACAUACUUUACACACAGAGUUACAAAAAUUGUGCUGUGAAUGGAAAAUUAUGAAUGUAAUGCACUCCACUAUUGUUAUGUAUGUAAGAAAUAAAUUA